CCUACGGGAGGCAGCAGUGAGGAAUAUUGGUCAAUGGACGAGAGUCUGAACCAGCCAAGUAGCGUGAAGGAUGACUGCCCUAUGGGUUGUAAACUUCUUUUAUAUGGGAAUAAAACGUUCCACGUGUGGGAUUUUGUAUGUACCAUAUGAAUAAGGAUCGGCUAACUCCGUGCCAGCAGCCGCGGUAAUACGGAGGAUCCGAGCGUUAUCCGGAUUUAUUGGGUUUAAAGGGAGCGUAGGUGGAUUGUUAAGUCAGUUGUGAAAGUUUGCGGCUCAACCGUAAAAUUGCAGUUGAAACUGGCAGUCUUGAGUACAGUAGAGGUGGGCGGAAUUCGUGGUGUAGCGGUGAAAUGCUUAGAGAUCUCGAAGAACUCCGAUUGCGAAGGCAGUUCACUGGACUGCAACUGACACUGAGGCUCGAAAGUGUGGGUAUCAAACAGGAUUAGAUACCCGAGUAGUC
Molecule: ribosomal RNA, 460 nt
Filed under: uncultured bacterium
Lineage: Bacteria
Description: partial 16S ribosomal RNA
Rfam family: Bacterial small subunit ribosomal RNA
Source: RNAcentral